GAAUUGUGUAGCAUUUGCACUGGAAUUCAAAUCUUACCAAAAUGAUUUUCAAACUAUUGCUUUCUAUCGUCUUGUUUGCUUAUGCAACUUCCGGCGAACCACAGAUUUCAGAGGUUAACACUCCCGCGAUGCCUACAACACCUGAGAUGCCUGAAACACCUGAUAUGCCUGUAACUCCUGCGAUGCCCGGAAUGCCAGGACUAGGUAGCAUUUCCGAUCGAGUUUCAAAUCGGUUCAACUAAUAGGUACCCAGAUGAAAGGUUAAAACAAUAUCACCUGAAUUGAUCUAAUUAAGUGGUUUCGAUCAAACUUUUCAAUAAAAAUUAUCGAGAUCAAACAUUCAAGCAUGUUUUAAACUUUAA
Molecule: long non-coding RNA, 362 nt
Organism: Uranotaenia lowii
Lineage: Eukaryota; Metazoa; Arthropoda; Insecta; Diptera; Culicidae
Exons: 2
Source: RefSeq, a predicted model, not a curated record